UUGUAAGGAAGCUGUUCAUAACA
This 23-nucleotide non-coding RNA is filed under the name Cricetulus griseus (Chinese hamster). Lineage: Eukaryota; Metazoa; Chordata; Mammalia; Rodentia; Cricetidae. The record is from RNAcentral.